RNAcentral lists this unclassified non-coding RNA (284 nucleotides) under uncultured Diaporthe. Its description in RNAcentral is "sequence contains ITS1". The stretch from base 1 to 105 matches the Rfam family "5.8S ribosomal RNA", at positions 50 to 154 of the family's 154-position model. The record is from RNAcentral. Lineage: Eukaryota; Fungi; Ascomycota; Sordariomycetes; Diaporthales; Diaporthaceae.
GAAAUGCGAUAAGUAAUGUGAAUUGCAGAAUUCAGUGAAUCAUCGAAUCUUUGAACGCACCUUGCGCCCUCUGGUAUUCCGGAGGGCAUGCCUGUUCGAGCGCCGUUUAACACCUAAGCCAUUGGCUUGCGUUGGCAUCGGUCGUCGCCACGACCGAGCUCAAACUCUGCGAAGCGUCUCCGUCGAGCAAGCACGUAGCGACUUACGAGCGACCUCCGACGGGGACUGGCUCGUCCAACACCGAGUUUGGCCUCGAAUCAGGCGGGAUUACCCGCUGAACUUAA